UUCCAAGUUCUUGUUUGGCUGCUUCGCUCUUUGAAACUUGUUGAAAAUACGUAAAAAAUAUUCUAUCUGAAAAAUUUAUAUUUACGACUAUUUCUUUUUCUGUGGUUUUCUUGAGCAAGCGGACCUUCCUGAAGAGCUGCUAAAGGAUUUCUCUUCAUCACUGAAGUGGAGCCCAGCAACUAGUAUAUCUGAUAAACUGCAAGACACAGAUUUAGGAUUCUCGAAGCUACUGUCAGCAUAGACACAGCCUCGGUUUUUCCAUCUGCAAAAUGCCAAUAAUUACGCCUGCUGCUGCCAGAAUGAUCUUGAAGAAUAAUGAGAAAAUGCCUCUAAGAACACUUAGAGUAACUCAGAAUAAACCUGUCAGAGAAAUGCCAAGAAUUAUUACCCUGCUAUUUUUGUAAGUGUGUGUGGUUUUUGCUGCUUUCCUAACAUAGCAAAGAAAAAGUAUAACUCCUAGAUUAAAAUAAUCCCUAUCAAAAAAAAAAAAAAAAGGGAGAAAAGGAAAAGUCCUACCCACCACAAA
This is a long non-coding RNA of Herpailurus yagouaroundi (jaguarundi), 526 nucleotides long. RefSeq lists it as uncharacterized. The transcript has 2 exons. NCBI's taxonomy places the organism in Eukaryota, Metazoa, Chordata, Mammalia, Carnivora, Felidae. The record is from RefSeq and is a predicted model, not a curated record.